AUUGAAGUGCCUGAUUAAAGGAUUAUCGUGAUAGGAUAAAUCAAGUAAUUAAAAUUACCUUCAGUAU
Molecule: transfer RNA, 67 nt
Filed under: Tarragoilus diuturnus
Lineage: Eukaryota; Metazoa; Arthropoda; Insecta; Orthoptera; Prophalangopsidae
Description: tRNA-Ile
Source: RNAcentral